Molecule: ribosomal RNA, 406 nt
Filed under: uncultured bacterium
Lineage: Bacteria
Description: partial 16S ribosomal RNA
Rfam family: Bacterial small subunit ribosomal RNA
Source: RNAcentral
AUUGAACGCUGGCGGCAUGCUUUACACAUGCAAGUCGGACGAGUGGCGAACGGGUGAGUAAAGCAUCGGAACGUACCGAGUAAUGGGGGAUAACUGUCCGAAAGGACAGCUAAUACCGCCUAUUAUUCACACGGCCGAUGUUGGAUUAGCUGGUUGGCGGGGUAAAGGCCCACCAAGGCGACGAUCAGUAGCGGGUCUGAGAGGAUGAUCCGCCACACUGGGACUGAGACACGGCCCAGACUCCUACGGGAGGCAGCAGUGGGGAAUUUUGGACAAUGGGCGCAAGCCUGAUCCAGCCAUGCCGCGUGUCUGAAGAAGGCCUUCGGGUUGUAAAGCACUUUCAGCGGGGAGGCGUUACCCGCAGAAGAAGCACCGGCUAACUCCGUGCCAGCAGCCGCGGUAAUUC